AAUUUUGGACAAUGGGGGAAACCCUGAUCCAGCCAUCCCGCGUGUAUGAUGAAGGCCCNAGGGUUNUNAAGUACUUUUGGCAGAGNGGAAAAGGUAUCCCCUAAUACGGGAUACUGCUGAUGGUACCUGCAGAAUAAGCACCGGCUAACUACGUGCCAGCAGCCGCGGUAAUACGUAGGGUGCAAGCGUUAAUCGGAAUUACUGUGCGUAAAGCAUGUGUAGGCGGUUCGGAAAGAAAGAUGUAAAAUCCCUGGGCUCAACCUUGGGAUUGCAUUGUUAACUGCCGAGCUAGAGUAAGUCAGAUGGGGGUAGAAUUCAACGUGUAGCAGUGAAAUGCGUAGAUAUGUGGAGGAAUACCGAUGGCGAAGGCAGCCCCCUGGGAUAAUACUGACGCUCAGACAAGAAAGCGUGGGGAGCAAACAAG
This 424-nucleotide ribosomal RNA is filed under the name uncultured bacterium. RNAcentral's name for it is "partial 16S ribosomal RNA". It matches the Rfam family "Bacterial small subunit ribosomal RNA", at positions 360 to 776 of the family's 1533-position model. The record is from RNAcentral.